UACGUAGGGUGCUAGCGUUGUUCGGAAUCAUUGGGCGUAAAGCGCGUGUAGGUGGCUUGUUAAGUCGGGUGUGAAAUCCCUGGGCUCAACCCAGGAAGUGCAUUCGAAACUAGCUCGCUAGAAGAUGGUAGAGGAAGGUGGAAUUCCAAGUGUAGAGGUGAAAUUCGUAGAUAUUUGGAGGAAUACCAGUGGCGAAGGCGGCCUUCUGGACCAUUCUUGACACUGAGACGCGAAAGCGUGGGGAGCAAACGGG
This 253-nucleotide ribosomal RNA is filed under the name uncultured bacterium. Its description in RNAcentral is "partial 16S ribosomal RNA". It matches the Rfam family "Bacterial small subunit ribosomal RNA", at positions 524 to 776 of the family's 1533-position model. The record is from RNAcentral.